CCUUACUUCCUGGGAACGUAGUGAGGGACCAUUUCCACUAAUGCAGGCUCGCACAAGCUUGGGUGGCCCAAGUUGAUGAGUCGUCUCACCUCCCUCCCAUCCCCUUUUUCUGUCUCCUCACCUUCCUGGCGGCUCCCAUGGUUGCGCUCGCCAUGCUGCUCUUGCUUGGCGACGGCGGCCGCGAGGGCUACGCAAGGGUGGCGCUCGUUGGUCUCCCAGCCAAGAUCUCGACACCGCUGGAGGCCGUGCCGGCACCAUCAUGACGCCAGUGCUGCUGAUUGGCCCACGACAGCGACGACGGCGAGGGGAACCACUAGGGCUCAGGCUCAUCACCUAGCUGCACCGUGGGUGCGAGAAAGGACACUGCUGCGGCCAAGUCGACGGCGGUGAUGAUUGCGCCCACGUGGAGCUCGAGCUUCUAGCCACAGUAGAUCUUGAGGGCAUCCACUGUGAAGGAAUGUAGAUUCUCAUUGAUGAAGCUUCUUCCUUUCAUACCUUUCUUGGUCAUUCCCGAUUGGUAAUUUAGAGUAUUUGGUGCUACGCUCAUGAUUUUUUUAAUU
RNAcentral lists this long non-coding RNA (560 nucleotides) under Setaria italica (foxtail millet). Its description in RNAcentral is "long non-coding RNA (SITA_LNC003758)". Lineage: Eukaryota; Viridiplantae; Streptophyta; Magnoliopsida; Poales; Poaceae. The record is from RNAcentral.